GUUUCCCAGUUCUAUACUGAACUCGCUGCUGGUGCGACUAUUUUUGCUGCUGCUUCUGCUGGAAAUCUCGUUGUUGGAGCUGCUAAAGAAGCCACCGAAGUUGAACUGCUUCUCAGGAACAAAUGAGGCGCAUAAGAAAAGCUCUUGGCCAGGCUAUUGCUCAACCUCUGGAAACCUCUCGACUGCAGCUUUUCGUCGCGAUUGUCAUGGACGUCAAGCCGACCGGGCAAUUGGUGCUCGCAACCGAAACCAUCAAACUUCAGCUCCAGAAGAUCGUAGAGAGUCUUCUCUGGAGUGAGGAGAGCAUCCAUGGACGUCAUAGCAGAAGGGAACGACGCUGGAAAUGGAGCGAGUUCGUUGAAAUCUGUAGCUUUAGACGCAGAUGGUGUGGAUGCGGAGGAAGAACUUGCUGCUGUCUCGAGAACCGUGGUUGGCGAUAAAUCGUCAGCUCCUUCCAGUUCUUCGUCUUGGUGAUCAUGGAUCCCGUCGUCUGGCGAGAAAGGCAAAGUGGAUCUAGCACUGGAUGAUUUGUCGGGAGACGGAGCUUACCUGGAACAGUUAGACUCCUCACAAAGCCAGCAAAAGUUGUGCUGUCUUUGAACGAGAACGGUGGAAAGGCACAAGGCACAGGCAUGGCGGAGAAAGAACGUAAAGCUCCUUGAUUAUCAUCGCCACCAUGGUAGAACUGCUUGCGGACUUUCUUGUGGAGCGGCGAGCUUUGAUCCAGAUUCAACGAGCUGCAGCAGUCCUCAAACUCCGUGUCGGAGAUCUCGACUUGGUGCUCGUGAGAUUUCCUGCAAGGCACUGCAUCUAGAACACUCGACAUGGUGAUGAUAGAAGCGCUUGAGCCAAUCGUCCUCAUCGUCCUGUAGCAUCCAGCACAAAAAAGAACCAUUUUCGGCUUCGUUGGUACUUGACGAACGAGACAUGGGGGAUGAAUGAAGCUUUUUGGUGUUUAGUGUGUUGCGAGCCACGACCAAGACGAAGAUGAAUACACGAUUUUUCGUGCCACUAGAUUAUAGUUCUUUCAAAAAGGAGGACCUUUGUAUACUUUUUACGAGACAAUGAAACUAUCACAAUGAUUU
Long non-coding RNA from Selaginella moellendorffii, 1085 nucleotides. RefSeq lists it as uncharacterized. The record is from RefSeq and is a predicted model, not a curated record. NCBI's taxonomy places the organism in Eukaryota, Viridiplantae, Streptophyta, Lycopodiopsida, Selaginellales, Selaginellaceae. The transcript has 6 exons.